This 158-nucleotide non-coding RNA is filed under the name human gut metagenome. RNAcentral describes it as "DUF2800 RNA". It matches the Rfam family "DUF2800 RNA". Rfam says of the family: Actinobacteria, Firmicutes, Synergistetes (1 example). Terminator (Clostridia) The record is from RNAcentral.
GUCAAGCACCGCACCGACUGAUCACCUGUGGCUCAACGGUACUUGAUGGGGCAACUACAUAAAGACAGCUGCCUAUUGAGCAGGAAGCUGCAGAACCGGAACGGAGAAGAAUCUCCGACGGGGCUGUGGUUGGGUUUCUAUUGCCAAAAUGUAGCGGC